Taeniopygia guttata (zebra finch) is the source of this 676-nucleotide non-coding RNA. The record is from RefSeq and is a predicted model, not a curated record. Lineage: Eukaryota; Metazoa; Chordata; Aves; Passeriformes; Estrildidae.
ACAAAGGUGAUCAUCCUGCAGGGAUGGAUGACACAAUCCAGGCCUUCAGCAGCUAUCGAAACUGAUGAUGGGGGUAUCGGGUGCAGGAACAAGAAGGGUGGCAGGAGCGGGCAGGAGCAGCGUGCAGGGUGUGCUGACCCCAGGGCCAACAGUUGUGUUGUGCUGCUUGCUGGCUGCUGGCAGUUCCAGGUGGGACAUGGAUUGUGACGUGACAGUUGAGCUAGAGAGCCUUUGGUUCCAUGCUUAGCAACGUUCCCCCAGACCAUGGUGCUCAGAGCCCUGUUCCCAAGGAUGGGGCAUCCACAGCCUGGGCCAGUGCCUCAGCAGCCUCAGUGGGAAAGAGCAGCUUCCUGAGAUCCAACCUCAAUCAGCCUCCUGCAGCUGAAAGCCAUCGCCCCUUGUGCUGUUGCCACAGGCCCUGUUGAACACUCUGAACACUCUGUCCCAGCCUUUCUUGUGGGACCCUUGCAGUCCUGCAUCAGGAACUGAGCGAUGGAAGCUUCAGGCCCAGGUUGAAAUGAAGCUUGGCACAAUAUCCAUUUUCUUCUCCAUUUGUGAAACACGGAACAAAGUCUGGGCAAGCUGAUGUUGCAGAGGAAAAUCUGCAAAUGUACUGGUUAUCCUGAGCCUGGAGGAUGAAGUUAAAGCCAGCCAAAAGCAAUUUCUGGAAAGUCAA